This 431-nucleotide ribosomal RNA is filed under the name uncultured bacterium. RNAcentral describes it as "bacterial SSU rRNA". It matches the Rfam family "Bacterial small subunit ribosomal RNA", at positions 355 to 777 of the family's 1533-position model. The record is from RNAcentral.
UGGGGAAUAUUGCGCAAUGGGGGAAACCCUGACGCAGCGACGCCGUGUGAGGGAAGAAGGCUUUCGGGUCGUAAACCUCUGUCAGAAAGGAAGAACCUCCCAAGUCCGAAUAGGGCUUGGGACUGACGGUACUUUCAAAGGAAGCACCGGCUAACUCCGUGCCAGCAGCCGCGGUAAUACGGAGGGUGCAAGCGUUAAUCGGAAUCACUGGGCGUAAAGCGCGCGUAGGCCGCUUUGUAAGUCGGGCGUGAAAGCCCUCGGCCCAACCGGGGAACUGCGUUCGAUACUGCGAGGCUUGAGUCCUGGAGAGGGUGGCGGAAUUCCGGGUGUAGGAGUGAAAUCCGUAGAUAUCCGGAGGAACACCGGUGGCGAAGGCGGCCACCUGGACAGGUACUGACGCUGAGGCGCGAAAGCGUGGGGAGCAAACAGGA